Molecule: transfer RNA, 66 nt
Filed under: Dimorphostylis asiatica
Lineage: Eukaryota; Metazoa; Arthropoda; Malacostraca; Cumacea; Diastylidae
Description: tRNA-Lys
Source: RNAcentral
CAUUAAGAAACCAAAGUUUAGGUGAAAUUUUUUUAAAAUUUUUAAUGGAACAAUUUCCCUUAAUGA